RNAcentral lists this ribosomal RNA (301 nucleotides) under uncultured bacterium. Its description in RNAcentral is "partial 16S ribosomal RNA". It matches the Rfam family "Bacterial small subunit ribosomal RNA", at positions 509 to 807 of the family's 1533-position model. The record is from RNAcentral.
CAGCAGCCGCGGUAACACGUAGGUGGCAAGCGUUGUCCGGAAUUAUUGGGCGUAAAGGGCUCGCAGGCGGUUUCUUAAGUCUGAUGUGAAAGCCCCCGGCUCAACCGGGGAGGGUCAUUGGAAACUGGGAAACUUGAGUGCAGAAGAGGAGAGUGGAAUUCCACGUGUAGCGGUGAAAUGCGUAGAGAUGUGGAGGAACACCAGUGGCGAAGGCGACUCUCUGGUCUGUAACUGACGCUGAGGAGCGAAAGCGUGGGGAGCGAACAGGAUUAGAUACCCCAGUAGUCCCUGUCUCUUAUAC